RNAcentral lists this ribosomal RNA (447 nucleotides) under Triticum aestivum (bread wheat). RNAcentral describes it as "partial small subunit ribosomal RNA". The record is from RNAcentral. Lineage: Eukaryota; Viridiplantae; Streptophyta; Magnoliopsida; Poales; Poaceae.
AUGGCGUCCAGGACCUCGGCGGCGUGCCUGCUGGCGCUGCUGGUGGCCAGCACGUUCCUGGCCGGCGACGCGUGCAACAGCUGCAAGCACCACACCCCUCCCCCGGCGUCCCCGUCCCCGCCCCCGCCAGCGCCUGCUACCCCGACGCCAUGCCCGCCACCGCCGUCAUCGGGCGGCACGGGGUACUGCCCCACGGACACACUGAAGCUGGGCGCCUGCGCCAACGUGCUGGGCCUAGUGAGCGCGGGCGUCGGCACCGCCCCCAGCGGCGGCGGCGACAAGUGCUGCAGCCUCCUCGGCGGCCUGGCCGACCUUGAGGCCGCCGUGUGCCUCUGCACCGCGCUCAAGGCCAACGUCCUCGGCAUCGUCCUCAACAUCCCCAUCAAGCUCAGCCUCCUCCUCAACUACUGCGGCAAGACCGCCCCCAAGGGCUUCCAGUGCGCUUAA